AAACAAAUGAGUGCAUUAUUUUCCUUCUUCAAGUGCAUAUUUUUCCUUCUUCAAGUGCAUAUGUUUGUCUCUUCGAGUGCAUAUUUAAUUGUUAUUAG
Molecule: long non-coding RNA, 98 nt
Organism: Ipomoea nil (Japanese morning glory)
Lineage: Eukaryota; Viridiplantae; Streptophyta; Magnoliopsida; Solanales; Convolvulaceae
Exons: 3
Source: RefSeq, a predicted model, not a curated record